UGAGGAACAUGACCUUCGGCGGGGGAUAGCCGGCCCAACGGCCGGGUAAUACCGCGUACGACCACAUGGGGACAUCCCUGAGUGGUGAAAGCAGCAAUGCGCCGAUGGAGUGCCUCGCGGCCUAUCAGCUAGUUGGUGAGGUAACGGCUCACCAAGGCAACGUCGGGUAGCUGGUCUGAGAGGAUGGCCAGCCAACAUUGGGACUGAGACACCGGCCCAGACCUCGUACGGGGAGG
RNAcentral lists this ribosomal RNA (236 nucleotides) under uncultured bacterium. RNAcentral's name for it is "partial 16S ribosomal RNA". It matches the Rfam family "Bacterial small subunit ribosomal RNA", at positions 118 to 347 of the family's 1533-position model. The record is from RNAcentral.